CGGAUCGGGAGAGAAAGCGAUACCGUGGGUAUCGCGCUCCUGGAUGGGCUCAUGUCCUAUCAGCUUGUUGGUGAGGUAACGGCUCACCAAGGCUUCGACGGGUAGCUGGUCUGAGAGGACGAUCAGCCACACUGGCACUGCGACACGGGCCAGACUCCUACGGGAGGCAGCAGUAAGGAAUAUUGCGCAAUGGGCGACAGCCUGACGCAGCGACGCCGCGUGGGGGAUGAAGGUCUUCGGAUUGUAAACCCCUUUCGGCAGGGAAGAUGGAACGGGUAACCGUUCGGACGGUACCUGCAGAA
Molecule: ribosomal RNA, 302 nt
Filed under: uncultured bacterium
Lineage: Bacteria
Description: bacterial SSU rRNA
Rfam family: Bacterial small subunit ribosomal RNA
Source: RNAcentral